ACGCUGGCGGCAGGCCUAACACAUGCAAGUCGAGCGGAAACGACACUAACAAUCCUUCGGGUGCGUUAAUGGGCGUCGAGCGGCGGACGGGUGAGUAAUGCCUAGGAAAUUGCCUUGAUGUGGGGGAUAACCAUUGGAAACGAUGGCUAAUACCGCAUAAUGCCUACGGGCCAAAGAGGGGGAUCUUCGGACCUCUCGCGUCAAGAUAUGCCUAGGUGGGAUUAGCUAGUUGGUGAGGUAAUGGCUCACCAAGGCGACGAUCCCUAGCUGGUCUGAGAGGAUGAUCAGCCACACUGGAACUGAGACACGGUCCAGACUCCUACGGGAGGCAGCAGUGGGGAAUAUUGCACAAUGGGCGAAAGCCUGAUGCAGCCAUGCCGCGUGUAUGAAGAAGGCCUUCGGGUUGUAAAGUACUUUCAGUUGUGAGGAAGGGGGUARYGUUAAUAGCGUUAUCUCUUGACGUUAGCAACAGAAGAAGCACCGGCUAACUCCGUGCCAGCAGCCGCGGUAAUACGGAGGGUGCGAGCGUUAAUCGGAAUUACUGGGCGUAAAGCGCAUGCAGGUGGUUCAUUAAGUCAGAUGUGAAAGCCCGGGGCUCAACCUCGGAACUGCAUUUGAAACUGGUGAACUAGAGUGCUGUAGAGGGGGGUAGAAUUUCAGGUGUAGCGGUGAAAUGCGUAGAGAUCUGAAGGAAUACCAGUGGCGAAGGCGGCCCCCUGGACA
This 723-nucleotide ribosomal RNA is filed under the name Vibrio sp. 14D04. RNAcentral's name for it is "bacterial SSU rRNA". It matches the Rfam family "Bacterial small subunit ribosomal RNA", at positions 33 to 735 of the family's 1533-position model. Lineage: Bacteria; Pseudomonadati; Pseudomonadota; Gammaproteobacteria; Vibrionales; Vibrionaceae. The record is from RNAcentral.